RNAcentral lists this non-coding RNA (29 nucleotides) under Rattus norvegicus (Norway rat). The record is from RNAcentral. Lineage: Eukaryota; Metazoa; Chordata; Mammalia; Rodentia; Muridae.
UCCCAGGGCUGUGCUGGAUGCGACUGGAA